GACGAACGCUGGCGGCGUGCUUAACACAUGCCAGUCGAACGGAAAGGCCCUGCUUUUGUGGGGUGCUCGAGUGGCGAACGGGUGAGUAACACGUGAGUAACCUGCCCUUGACUUUGGGAUAACUUCAGGAAACUGGGGCUAAUACCGGAUAGGAGCUCCUGCUGCAUGGUGGGGGUUGGAAAGUUUCGGCGGUUGGGGAUGGACUCGCGGCUUAUCAGCUUGUUGGUGGGGUAGUGGCUUACCAAGGCUUUGACGGGUAGCCGGCCUGAGAGGGUGACCGGCCACAUUGGGACUGAGAUACGGCCCAGACUCCUACGGGAGGCAGCAGUGGGGAAUAUUGCACAGUGGGAGGAAGCCUGAUGCAGCAACGCCGCGUGCGGGAUGACGGCCUGCGGGUUGUAAACCGCUGUCGCCUGUGACGAAGCGUGAGUGACGGUAAUGGGUAAAGAAGCACCGGCUAACUACGUG
This 468-nucleotide ribosomal RNA is filed under the name uncultured bacterium. RNAcentral describes it as "partial 16S ribosomal RNA". It matches the Rfam family "Bacterial small subunit ribosomal RNA", at positions 28 to 507 of the family's 1533-position model. The record is from RNAcentral.